GAUGAACGCUGGCGGCGUGCCUAAUACAUGCAAGUCGAGCGAACAGACGGGGACCUUGCUCCUCUGACGAUAGCGGCACGCGGGUGAGUAACGCGUGGAUACCCUACCUAUAAGACUGGGAUAAAUUCGGGAAACCGGAGAUAAUCCCGGGUCAUAUAUUAAACCGCAUUGUUCGAUAGUAAAGGACGGCUUUGCCGUUACUAGUAGAUGGAUCCGUGCCGUAUGAGGUAGUUGGUAAAGCGACGGCUUACGAAGGCAACGAUUCGUCGCCGACCUGAGAGGGUGAUCGGCCACUCUGAAAGUGAGACGCGCCCCAGACCCAUACGGGAGGCAGGUGUAGGGAAUCUGCCGCAAUGGGCGAAAGCGUGACGGAGCAACGCCGCGUGAGUGAUGAAGGUCUUCGUAGCGUAAAACUCUUUUAUUAGGGAAGAGAAAAUGUGUAAGUAACUAUGCAAGUGUGGACGGUACCUAAUCAGAAAGCCACGCUUAACUACGG
RNAcentral lists this ribosomal RNA (496 nucleotides) under uncultured bacterium. Its description in RNAcentral is "partial 16S ribosomal RNA". It matches the Rfam family "Bacterial small subunit ribosomal RNA", at positions 28 to 506 of the family's 1533-position model. The record is from RNAcentral.